This is a long non-coding RNA of Dreissena polymorpha, 3186 nucleotides long. RefSeq lists it as uncharacterized. The transcript is spliced from 2 exons. Lineage: Eukaryota; Metazoa; Mollusca; Bivalvia; Myida; Dreissenidae. The record is from RefSeq and is a predicted model, not a curated record.
UUAUCUUAUUUGAAAAGUGAUAUUGCAGAACUUCAUGAAAAGAUUUUAAAAAAAUCUAUGAAUAAUUAACUAUUAUUAUCUACUUUGAUGAAGUUCCAGUUAUUAUUAACAGGUGAUCCUUACAAUAUUCAAAUUUUCGUCCCAGAUAUUUUAAAGUUUUUGUUUCUCAUAUGUUUCACUUUGUUGGUUGUAAAAUACAAAUUGUACAUAAACACAAAUAUGUAUAACUAAGUACAUAAACACAAAUAUGUAUAACUAAGUACAUAAACACAAAUAUGUAUAACUAAGUAUAACUUUUUAAUAAUCCUCAUACCAAAUAUAUCUGACUUCCUGUAAAAUUGAUAUUUCUUGUUUCUUUGUUUUUCAUGUGAGUUUUUUUUUACUUUAUCAUACAGUGUUAUGUUAUUGGCAUAAUGGUUGAACAUUUCCCCAAAGUAAUUGUAAAAUCAUAUAAAAUUCUCAAAUAAUCUUUAAUAUAUCCAAUAUUUUUUUUAUUUUUAUCUAAGACAUGGUAUGUUUCUUAACCAGAUAUUUAUUCUUGUUGUAAAUGCGUGUAUUAUUAUGCCCCCCUUCGAAGAAGAGGGGGUAUAUUGUUUUGCUCAUGUCGGUCCGUCCGUCCUUCCACCAGAUGGUUUCCGGAUGAUAACUCAAGAACGCUUAGGCCUAGGAUCAUGAAACUUCAUAGGUAGAUUGAUCAUGACUGGCAGAUGACCCCUAUAGAUUUUCAGGUCACUAGGGCAAAGGUCAAGGUCACAGUGACUCGAAAUAGUAAAAUGGUUUUUGGAUGAUAACUCAAGAAUGCUUACGCCUAGGAUCAUGAACAUUCAUAGGUAGGGUAAAGUGAUUGUGAGUCGGACAGUGUUUUCCGUUUCGAAUGAUUUGAGCUAUAUUUAGAACUCUCAGGACGGUUUCUUCAUACUGGUACCCAGCCUAUUAUUCCCGCUACCCAUUUCAACCAUAUUUGCAGGCAAAACGGUUUUGAUUUCGCCUAUAUGUGUAGUUGAAUACAGCUACUCCAGUUCGAUUGUGAGUCGGACAGUUUUGAUAUUGAGUCGGACAGUGAGAGAUGUCAUAGUAAAUGACCAUAUAUUAUAUGGUUUAAUACUAUUUUAAGUCAAUAAUGCAAAAAAUAUUUGUUCUAUUAAUGCUUUUUCAAUAUUUGGUUUAAAUUGAAAUGAAUUAAUCUAAUUAAAUGAUGUAAAAUUACUUAUAUACUUAUGUUAUCGACCAGUGGUUGUUACACGCGCUUCUAAGCUCGGCGACCCGGGUUCGACUUCGCUCCCGGUGCAUACAAGUUCGAUUGGUGGUUGCCAUGCUAGACCAGCGAGGUUUUGCUUUUCACACUAUUCAAGAGUAUCAGGUUAAUAUUGGGCAACUAUAUAGUUACGAUGCCUUGCUAAAUGCACUACGUGUGUUAGCGUGUGUGGACAUGAACGUCUAUGAAGCCCAUCGGGUAUCGAAAACAAGUUGAAGAUUGAAGAUUCGUGUUUUCAAGCUUAAGAUAAAUACAAUGUAAAGCAUAAUUUCUAAUUUGUAUUUAUGAGUUAUCCAGUAACAAAACCACUAAAACAUGUGUGUACACGACUUAUUUUUCUUUUGAUGCAUUACAUGUCAUGACCGUGUGCCUGUUUGCUGCAGUUACCUGAGGGCUUCGCAAGGAGAACUCAGGGUUCCUAGCUUUCAGCUUUAUCAAUAUCCACCACAUAUCCGAAGGCCUGCCACGCUUAAACUGAUCGGCAAAAAUCCCCACGUACCUUAAAAUGUUACCUUUACUAAACCCAAGACCCCUGGCCGCUUAUGAAGUGGCAGCCUCAAUAAGAGCCUGUUUCGCAGCAACGAAAGCCGAUGCUGCAAUUCUGCAUCGGCCCGCGCAGCUUUGAAAACUUUUCUGGCGACAUUUUUGGCCCGAAGGUAACAUCACCCUUUUGGUAAAUUCAAUACAGUCUUCGUGGUAUUAAUUAAAAAGUGAAAUACGACACCACAAACUAUUAACUACAAAGUGCAAACAGUGUAAAAUUGUGGUAAAAUCCUAUUAUUACCAACGUAGCCCAAUUUCUCACAUGAUAUUUUUGUAUGAAUACACAUAGUUAAAUAUCAAUGAAUUUCGGAAAACGCAACAUGUAAGAAUUUGGUUAACGUGCUCAUUUUGUGCUGGAAAUGAACUUUUAAACAAAAGUAGUAAAAAAACACUGCACAAAUUAAUUAGAACAAUCUAGCUCAGACCGAGCAAACUGUUUGAUGAAUGGAACAUAUAAGAGCUAUUGGACUUGUCAACAUUUGCAUUUAGUUCCACGUAAACACGUAAUAAAAUAGGCUUAUUUCUGUAUUUUAGACCUAUCUGUAAGCUUUCAUAUGCUAAUAUAGGUUAAACAUUGUUUAUUCAAAACUGACAAUGAGUCUGACAGUGUCCGACUCAAUAUCAAAAUGCAUUGUUUUGCUGUCCGACUCAAUAUCUAAAAUGGUUCAUGUUGUCGGUCGGGAAAAUGUUGAUCAAUUCAAAGAAACUACGAUUAAACUUAAAUUUAGUUUGCAAAAUGAUCAUAAAUCUACAGCUUAAACAAUGAUGUCAAUUGCUCGAACAGAUUUCAACACUGCUAGUCUGUUUCAAAUGCAAACAAAACUUACUUCUUUUGCGUUGUCAAUUUUGCAAUUCACGCCCGUGAAGGUAUUUUUAGAAAUGAUUUCAGGAAUGCUGGGAAGAACGCCACAACAGACAAACAACUUAUUUGAUUGGUUUAAAUAUUUAUUUCGGUUAAUGUACACUUGUUUACAUGCAGAACUGUCUAAAAUCGACAGAAAAACGGGUCCAAAAACAUCCGACUUCAGAUCGUGUCCGACUCCCGAUCACUUUACCCUACAUUGAUCAUGACCGGCAGAUGACCCCUAUUAAUUUGCAUGUCACUAGGUCAAAGGUCAAGGUCACAGUGACUCAAAACAGUAUGGUUUCCUGAUGAUAACUCAAGAAUUAUUAGGCCUAGGAUCAUGAAACUGCAUAGGUACAUUGCUCAUCACUGGCAGAUGACCCCUAUUGAUUUUCAGGUCACUAGGUCAAAGGUCAAGGUCACAGUGACAAAAACCUUAUUUACACAAUGGCUGCCACUACAACUGACAGCCCAUAUGGGGGGCAUGCAUGUUUUACAAACAGCCCAUGUUAUUUACUGGUGAAACAAAAACAUUGAAAUAUCA